RNAcentral lists this ribosomal RNA (407 nucleotides) under uncultured bacterium. RNAcentral's name for it is "partial 16S ribosomal RNA". It matches the Rfam family "Bacterial small subunit ribosomal RNA", at positions 30 to 526 of the family's 1533-position model. The record is from RNAcentral.
AUUGAACGCUGGCGGCAGGCCUAACACAUGCACGUCGAGCGGAGCGGCGGACGGGUGAGUAAUACCUAGGAAUCUGCCUGGUAGUGGGGGAUCACGUUCGGAAACGGCCGCUAAUACCGCAUACUAUCAGAUGAGCCUAGGUCGGAUUAGCUAGUGGGGGAGGUAAUGGCUCACCAAGGCUACGAUCCGUAACUGGUCUGAGAGGAUGAUCAGUCCCGAUGGAACUGAGAUACGGUCCAGACGCCUACGGUAGUCGUCAGUGGGGAAUAUUGGACAAUGGGCGAAAGCCUGAUCCAGCCAUGCCGCGUGUGUGAAGAAGGUCGUCGGAUUGUAAAGCACUUUCAGUUGGGAGGCGUUACCGACAGAAUAAGCACCGGCUAACUCUGUGCCAGCAGCCGCGGUAAUUC